RNAcentral lists this long non-coding RNA (349 nucleotides) under Citrus sinensis (sweet orange). RNAcentral's name for it is "long non-coding RNA (CSIN_LNC004802)". The record is from RNAcentral. Lineage: Eukaryota; Viridiplantae; Streptophyta; Magnoliopsida; Sapindales; Rutaceae.
AUAACUUCCAACAUCCACACUUCCCAAUUUAAAUCUACAAUAAUAAAUUGAAAUGAAUAAAGUAAACCUAAAUAUAACUAUAAAAUAAUAUAUCAAAUUCGUAUAAAUGAUACCUUUUAUUGAAAUGAUUAAAGUAAAUAUCACUCAAUCGCCAAUUGGUCUUUUGCUGCUUGUGUUUGUUGUGCUAGCAUUGGUCUAAAAAAUUCUACAAAGAAAUAAAAUAGAUGUAUGAAAAGCAUUAUUUAUAAUAUUGAAUACUACAAAUAAAUUAUCAAAUGUCAACAAAAUCGUGUUAUUACUUGCUUUAACAACUUCAUAAAAUUAAGUUUCUUCCUCGAUUGGCUCUAUU